CAUAAAGGGAAAACGGACUCACUAGGAGGACCUAGACUCUUUCAGCUUGAACUGUUAACCAAUGGUGGAAAUGCAAGAAUGCUGAAGUUGUGCCUUCGGAGCCAAUAGAGUGGAUUUGUGUGUCCCACAUGACUGCGUUUCCCCUGUCUUUCACAUGGGCAGUAUUUAGUUCAAUUCAGAACUGCAGAUAGUAUAGUGUGCAGAGCAGCAAUGGGAUGUCUGAGCACAAGUGGCUGACUUCCAGGCGACUUCAGGAAGCACAUUUAUGUAUUUCUCCUGAAUUAAACUGGGAUUCUGCACCUUUGACAUCCUCUGACCCUCCUUGUCUCUGCAGAAGGAGACAGCAACCUGCACAGCACAACAAAACUACAAGUCACCACAGAGCUGCAGACCAGCAAAAGGAGUGAACUGAAGGCAAUUUGACCAACAUCAUCUGUGUCAGUUCCUCAGAAGUCAAUGAAACGUAUUAUCGGGUCUCCAAGAAAGAAGUUUGUGGAACUGCCAGCUCCUUGCACAAAGACUGAAAUAGGAUGGGCAGAGAAGGGCGUUGGUAAGAGAGAAAAGACUGAAGUUGCACCAUCUGUAUGAUUAAAUAAUUGUGUGAAUUUUUUAUUUCCCCCCACUCCUUUCAGACAUUUGAGGAUUCUGUCAAGUCAAUGGAGUUCUGUUGUAGUGGUUGCUUCAGUGAACAUUCAACGCUGUCGGCCUUAACACCGAAGAUAGCAACCUAAUCAUCACAUGAUGUUUCUCCCCUACCCUGCCAAGCUUUACAAAAAGGUCACAAUCAACAUUCAUUGCUGUCGGUGGGUUUAACUAUGUGGACAAGCUCACUGAACAAUGAAUGCAACUGUGGCCCCACAUUUUACGGUUGCUGUUGAGAGGAACACCAGCUCUGAAUGCAGUAGUGAGAAGCGAGCACUUCUUAUAUAGACAUUGCAUUUUUCUGGUCAAAGAUAUAGUUGGGGGUGGUCAAGUUUACUGGCUUGUUUUAAAGUGUGUUUAACUUAGCUGUCUAGAAAAAAAAAUCAUCGUUGCCUUUUCUGGAAUAUUGUUGUCCCAUAGUCUAGCAUCAUUGAGAGCAUAAUUCUCAUUCAGUAUAUCUGUGGAAAUAAAUAACAAUGAGGGGAACACCAUGUAUAUCCCCUCUUAAGGGGUAAAGAACACUUACAUUUCAUUUUAACUAAGUGCCGUGGAGUAGUUCAAAGAUUUCUUCUAUCUUUGUCAUAACAAAUACAAAUGGGAGCCAGAAUUCAAAGAAACAGAUCGAAUGUAAUAUCUAAAAGUGGAUUAACUUUCCGUAAAACUGAUAUUAAGUACCUAAAUAAACACUAUUAGACAAUGAAUAGUACUAUAUUUGCCCUUUUAGAGAUUUGAAAGAUGACAGAGAAAUGCAUAUUCAGAAAUAAUAAUGGAAAUGUAGUUGAAUUGUAAAAUUAUUGUAAAAUUAUUGUAAACUUUGGGUACCUAUGUCACACUCUCAGGAUUGCUGACAGCAAUAAGAAAAUAAAAGUGUAAA
Dryobates pubescens (Downy woodpecker) is the source of this 1516-nucleotide long non-coding RNA. RefSeq lists it as uncharacterized. The record is from RefSeq and is a predicted model, not a curated record. The transcript is spliced from 4 exons. Lineage: Eukaryota; Metazoa; Chordata; Aves; Piciformes; Picidae.